UGGGGAAUUUUGGACAAUGGGCGCAAGCCUGAUCCAGCCAUGCCGCGUGCAGGACGAAGGCCUUCGGGUUGUAAACUGCUUUUGUACGGAACGAAAAGCUCUUCUCUAAUACAGAGGGGUCAUGACGGUACCGUAAGAAUAAGCACCGGCUAACUACGUGCCAGCAGCCGCGGUAAUACGUAGGGUGCAAGCGUUAAUCGGAAUUACUGGGCGUAAAGCGUGCGCAGGCGGUUUUGUAAGACAGAGGUGAAAGCCCCGGGCUCAACCUGGGAACUGCCUUUGAGACUGGAAGGCUGGAGUGCGGUAGUGGGGGGUGGAAUUCCCCGUGUAGCAGUGAAAUGCGUAGAUAUCUGGAGGAACACCGCUGGCGAAGGCAACCCACUGGAAACGCACUGACGCUGAAGCGCGAAAGCGUGGGGAGCAAACA
RNAcentral lists this ribosomal RNA (427 nucleotides) under uncultured bacterium. Its description in RNAcentral is "bacterial SSU rRNA". It matches the Rfam family "Bacterial small subunit ribosomal RNA", at positions 355 to 774 of the family's 1533-position model. The record is from RNAcentral.